Sander lucioperca (pikeperch) is the source of this 2032-nucleotide long non-coding RNA. RefSeq lists it as uncharacterized. The transcript has 2 exons. Lineage: Eukaryota; Metazoa; Chordata; Actinopteri; Perciformes; Percidae. The record is from RefSeq and is a predicted model, not a curated record.
UUGAAAAGUGGAAAUGGCACAAAUUUGAUAAAAAUUGAGGUUCAGGUUGAAUUGUGGCAAAAAAAAUCUUAUAUAUAUAAGGACACAGACUUAGUGAAAAAAAUCACGAUAUACAUGAAACUCUUCUUUGUAAUGGUUUAGUGGCAUUGACUAGAGAAUUAGUGCCACCAGCAGUUUAUCUCACGUUGCCGGCCCUAUCUCCAAGUAUGGUCUGGAUACACCACUUAUCUAUUCUGGGAUAGGGAAAAAAAGCUCUGGCUUGUGUGUAUUUCUUUAAACCAAACAGAACUUUCCUGGGCGGCACUAAGCCAGGAAUGCAGCGACGGUGCCCCUACAAAUUAGAUAGCGGAGAUAGCUAAAGGAAAGGGACGGGAUGUCAGGCUUUUAUCCCAGCAAUGUACAUCCGUUGAGCCAGACUACGAUGCCUCCAAGUCCUGAUAUUCACAUAACAGUAACGGAUGGAAACGCACAAUUACUGCUGCUGGAGUUGAUAAAGGUUGUUGAGUUCUUAAUACACUUUUAAAAGAACAGUUAAGAACUAUUCUUGUUACCCAGGGUUAGAUGUGGGUUAGGUUCAGGGUUGGGAGAUCUGUUUCAUCUCUCCUCAGCUUGCAUCUUAUGAGGUGCAUGUUGGAUUGUGACAGUAUCUGAAACCUCCUUUUCAUGAAUACCUUUGAGGAGAGACCGAGAUCAUGUGCACCAUGAAUUGUGCAUUUGGAAUGUGUGGCUUAAUUCCCUGGGAAAUAUCAUCUAGAUACCUAACAUAUCACAGUUUUAUCAAUUCUCAAGCAAACUUGGAAUUUGGAUGGAAGUGACAAUUAAACAUGAAAAUCUUGUUUUUGACUAAAAUUUGUUAUCAACUAUCCUCACUGUCCACAGUUUCUUUGGUAUAAAUUAGUUCAGAAACCCUGUCAAAUUAAAUGUCACCAUUUUAUUUCCCACCAUGAAGCUCUAAAUGCUAUAAUAAUAAUUUCCAACACCCUUGUCCACACUGUCAGAUAUAAAAUUCUGCAAUAAACACAAAUAAACACAGGCGCCAAAAGUGGAAAAGUUGGAAAAGGGUAACAAUAAGUUCUGCAAACACACUCUCUGACUUCAUUAUCAUUAUUAUCAUUAGCCCCGCCAAGGAGGUUAUGUUUUCAGUUUGGUUUGUCAGCAAGGUUACAUAACAACUACGGCCAGAUUUCCAUGAAACUUGGUUGAAGGGUGAAGCAUGGACCAAGGAAGAACCCAUUAUAUUUUGGAGUGGAUCCGAAUCAAGGGGCAUACUCAAAUUUUCACUCGUUACAAUGUGAAAUAAUUCAUGGCCUUGGUGGAAGUCUGCACUCUCCAAGUGCCAUUAUAGUUAUUGUUAUUAUCAUUAUUAUGAUAUACAAUAUAAUUAUGAUUAUUAUUGUUAUGAUUAACAUAGGUAGUAGUAGUGGUGGUGGUGGUUGUAGUACCAGUAGUACUAUUGGUGGCGGCAAAUAUUACUGUUAGCAUUAUAGACUCCUUCCCAGUCUGACACACAGACACACGGAUCGGUGCAUCCCUUAUUGUUUCUGUCUAUUGUCAUGCAAUAAAUAAAUAAAAAACUAUUGAAGUAUUGAAUAAAACAUUGGAUAUAAAAAAUACUGUAAUCAGUCUGAGAACUGUGACAGUUUUUAAUAACGUAAAAUAGUACUGAAAAAAGUACAGAGGACAUGACCUCAGUGUCCUCAGUGGUAGCUAUGGAGUCAGUGGCGGAAACCAAAACUAGGAGGAGUUUUUGGACACAAUGUGGAUAAACACAACAGCCCCAACAGCUACUGUAAAACAUUUUCUCAUUUUUUGGCCUUAGAAUUCACAACAUUGUUAACUUACUCCCUGGCUUUAAUUAUGAAUAUACCUGACCUUCCAAUGUGCAGUCAUCAGACAGAAAGGUGUGAUGACUAAAAGGGUUACAUGGUUUCUUACCUUGAGCUGAGCCAGGUCACUGGUUGAAGAGGUCCUACCCAGUAUGUGGCUGCUAACCAGUGUGUGCUGACACAGCAGGGCCAGCAGGCCCCACAGG